Rhipicephalus microplus (southern cattle tick) is the source of this 683-nucleotide long non-coding RNA. The record is from RefSeq and is a predicted model, not a curated record. Lineage: Eukaryota; Metazoa; Arthropoda; Arachnida; Ixodida; Ixodidae.
CUCCCCGCACGUGGGUCUUGGCACACAUGUGUGCGACUCUCACCAUCCAUCUUGACACUGCGCCCAGACAAACCGUGCCGAGAACAGGACUCAAUGUGGAACAGGCUCCGGCACAUGCGCAGUCAAGCUGACAUAGCAGCCGUGAAUGCGGCAGCACUCUUAUGUGCGCUCUUUCACUGCACCUUUCGUCAGCUCCGUUUUUUCCGAGUCGCUGUUCUUUCCACAACGUUUCCCGCGCCGCGUGUUCUCACGUGGCUUUUCGGAUGACUGACCCCUUCCACUCCUGCUCGGACGGAUUUUCCUCGGCGCACAGCCUUGCCGAGGUGGUUCGCUACGACUUCCUGGUCUCCAAACGCUCGGUGUAGACGCGCCAUCCGACCAACCCGUUUCGGACAUGGCUGCGCAGACCUUUCUCGGUCCUGGCCUUCCUGCCACAUGAAUUCGUCGCUAGUCUUCGGAAUGGCGGGAAUUUCGGCGUCUACCAGAUCAUCUACGGGAGCCGCCGGCGGUGUUCGUGGCUGUACCAUUUUGUGCUGCCUUCCCGGACCUUUUACUGUUGCCUUGCGCUUCUCCGUCGCGUGCACGGCCUUCAUCGCUGCGGACACUGCUUCCAGCAUCCCGGAAGAGCCUCAAGACUCCCUGGACCACGCCUGUGUUUAAAUAAAUUCUUUCGUGAUGAGCCA